AGGACGAACGCUGGCGGCGUGCUUAACACAUGCAAGUCGAACGGUGACGGAGAGCUUGCUCUCCUGAUCAGUGGCGAACGGGUGAGUAACACGUGGGCAACCUGCCCCUGACUUCGGGAUAACGCUUCGAAAGAGGUGCUAAUACCGGAUACGAGCCCCGUAGGCAUCUACGGGGUUGGAAAGUUUUUCGGUCAGGGAUGGGCCCGCGGCCUAUCAGCUUGUUGGUGAGGUAAUGGCUCACCAAGGCGACGACGGGUAGCCGGCCUGAGAGGGCGACCGGCCACACUGGGACUGAGACACGGCCCAGACUCCUACGGGAGGCAGCAGUGGGGAAUAUUGCGCAAUGGGCGAAAGCCUGACGCAGCAACGCCGCGUGAGGGAUGACGGCCUUCGGGUUGUAAACCUCUUUCAGCAGGGACGAAGCGAGAGUGACGGUACCUGCAGAAGAAGCGCCGGCUAACUACGCGCCAGCAGCCGCGGU
RNAcentral lists this ribosomal RNA (481 nucleotides) under uncultured bacterium. RNAcentral's name for it is "SSU rRNA". It matches the Rfam family "Bacterial small subunit ribosomal RNA", at positions 26 to 521 of the family's 1533-position model. The record is from RNAcentral.